Molecule: ribosomal RNA, 94 nt
Filed under: Acinetobacter seifertii
Lineage: Bacteria; Pseudomonadati; Pseudomonadota; Gammaproteobacteria; Moraxellales; Moraxellaceae
Source: RNAcentral
CCUGGUGAAAUUAGCGCUGUGGAACCACCCGAUCCCAUCCCGAACUCGGAAGUGAAACGCAGCUGCGCCGAUGGUAGUGUGGCUCAAGCCAUGU